CCGGCACGGGUGAGUAACACGUAUCCAACCUGCCGUCUACUCUUGGACAGCCUUCUGAAGGAAGAUUAAUACAAGAUGGCAUCAUGAGUCCACAUGUUCACAUGAUUAAAGGUAUUCCGGUAGACGAUGGGGAUGCGUUCCAUUAGAUAGUAGGCGGGGUAACGGCCCACCUAGUCUUCGAUGGAUAGGGGUUCUGGGAGGAAGGUCCCCCACAUUGGAACUGAGACACGGUCCAA
Molecule: ribosomal RNA, 236 nt
Filed under: uncultured bacterium
Lineage: Bacteria
Description: partial 16S ribosomal RNA
Rfam family: Bacterial small subunit ribosomal RNA
Source: RNAcentral